RNAcentral lists this ribosomal RNA (495 nucleotides) under uncultured Pseudomonadota bacterium. RNAcentral describes it as "bacterial SSU rRNA". It matches the Rfam family "Bacterial small subunit ribosomal RNA", at positions 355 to 843 of the family's 1533-position model. Lineage: Bacteria; Pseudomonadati; Pseudomonadota. The record is from RNAcentral.
UGGGGAAUAUUGGACAAUGGGGGCAACCCUGAUCCAGCGACGCCGCGUGGGUGAAGAAGGCCUGCGGGUUGUAAAGCCCUUUCGGUUGGGAAGAAAAGCUGUGACCUAACACGUCGCGGCCUUGACGUAACCAACUAAAGAAGCACCGGCUAACUCUGUGCCAGCAGCCGCGGUAAUACAGAGGGUGCGAGCGUUAAUCGGAAUUACUGGGCGUAAAGCGCGCGUAGGCGGCUUUGCAAGCCGGAUGUGAAAUCCCCGGGCUUAACCUGGGAACUGCAUUCGGGACUGCAUUGCUAGAGUAUGGGAGAGGGAAGUGGAAUUUCAGGUGUAGCGGUGAAAUGCGUAGAUAUCUGAAGGAACAUCAGUGGCGAAAGCGACUUCCUGGACCAAUACUGACGCUCAUGUGCGAAAGCGUGGGGAGCAAACAGGAUUAGAUACCCUGGUAGUCCACGCCAUAAACGAUGAGAACUGGAUGUCGGAGGGUCUGCCUCUCGG